GAUGAACGCUGGCGGCGUGCCUAAUACAUGCAAGUCGAGCGAACAGACGAGGAGCUUGCUCCUCUGACGUUAGCGGCGGACGGGUGAGUAACACGUGGAUAACCUACCUAUAAGAUUGGGAUAACUUCGGGAAACCGGAGCUAAUACCGGAUAAUAUAUUGAACCGCAUGGUUCAAUAGUGAAAGACGGUUUUGCUGUCACUUAUAGAUGGAUCCGCGCCGCAUUAGCUAGUUGGUAAGGUAACGGCUUACCAAGGCAACGAUGCGUAGCCGACCUGAGAGGGUGAUCGGCCACACUGGAACUGAGACACGGUCCAGACUCCUACGGGAGGCAGCAGUAGGGAAUCUUCCGCAAAGGGCGAAAGCCUGACGGAGCAACGCCGCGUGAGUGAUGAAGGUCUUCGGAUCGUAAAACUCUGUUAUUAGGGAAGAACAAAUGUGUAAGUAACUAUGCACGUCUUGACGGUACCUAAUCAGAAAGCCACGGCUAACUACGUG
Molecule: ribosomal RNA, 497 nt
Filed under: uncultured bacterium
Lineage: Bacteria
Description: partial 16S ribosomal RNA
Rfam family: Bacterial small subunit ribosomal RNA
Source: RNAcentral